CAUAGAUUCAUGGGCAACAUGUGCAGUCCAAUCUCAGAUGUGGCCAAGAAGUUUCUAAGCAGAGAAAAACGUUCAAGAGAGCGAAACCCAGAACUGCCAUAAAUAUUCAUCAAGGAAAAUCUCUUGAGUAGCAGAGCAGAUACUUUUCACAUGCAAAGGCCUAUAGGGAUAGAGGAGUAGAAGAUGAAAGAAGUGUGGUUUCCUGACAUGAUUAAGCUACUAUAAAACCUGGAAAUGCCCUGGUAUGUUAGGUGAGAGGUAAAUAUAUCUCUAUUUUUAAGCCACUGUAUAUUGGGGUCUUAUAGUUCAUAAUAUUUGAUGGAUCAAUAACAAACUAUGACUCUCCAAAUUUGAAACAUUGCAUGGAGAAAAAAAAAGACAUUUUGAAUAACAACCUGUCUGCUCUUUUCAUUGUUUUCUCACCCUGGCUCACUCACUGCAGCACUAGAUGAUUUAGACUUAACGCAUCGGGCACACAGCAUUCACUCAAUAAGUGUUUGUUGAACGAAUUCAUUUUCAAAUUUCCGUCAUUCAUUAUUCACCAUUCUUUCUUUCCAGAGACAAGAAAUUUGCCUUGAGAAAGUUUUAUAAUCUCCGUAGAGUUGCAACAAUUUUAAUAUUAUUCCUAUGCCUUUAUCAAAGCACAAACAUAUGAGCCAAAUUGGCCUCAUGGAACAAAAUGAAAUUAGCUUUUGACAGAGCAAUUUCAAAAUAAAUUACCCCAAACAUGCUCUUUUCUCUUUUGUAAAUGCAAAGCUCUGUUGUUGAACAAAUAUGCUUCUGUGCUUUGGUGAUGAAAUCUAUUUGAUCUGCCUCUCCUUAAGUUUUAGCUAUCAUUGUGCUCAGAGCUAGAUUUGGGGCUCAGUUUCAAUAGCAUCUUAUUAACUACACUCAUUCAUUUUUUUAGCUUUCUGCAUACAUUGUUGGGAGUGCAUCUGAGAAGGAGAAAUUAGGUAUACAGAAGCAAGGGAAUGCUGGCCUAGCAUGAAGAUGGGCCACAUCAUGCCCAGCUACCAAGGGAAGAACAGGCUUCAUCACAAGAUCUCCAAGCAUCCAUGAUUUGACUUGUAUCAUCUUAUACAUUCUUACUAUGUAUUAUGUGAUUUUAUAGGAAAUAUAAUAUAAAUCAAUAUAUAACUUCAUAUUCAUGUUAAUAUAUAGCUAUGUCUUUAUCCAAACUAAAAUAUAAAUUAUACUUUAAGACAUUCCAAAAGAUUUAAUAGAGUUGGUAGAAAUUAAAUAGCUAAUAAAUAAAUACUAGUCUCAUUUUCCCUAUGCAUAUUUUUACUUUUAAAUUUUGAUUAAAAAGAAAAAUAUUAAAAAUAAUAUUGAUAGAAAUACAUCUGGUUAGUCCUACCUAUUAAUUUUUUUUUUUUUUGAGAUGGAGUUUUGCUCUUGUCUCCCAGGCUGGAAAACAGUGGCAUGAUCUUGGCUCACUGCGACUCCGCCUCCCAGGUUCAAGCGAUUCUCCUGUCUCAGUCUCACAAGUAGCUGGGAUUACAGGCACCCGCCACCAUGCUCAGCUAUUUUUUUUAUUUUUAUUAUUUUUUUAUUUUUAGUAGAGACAGGGUUUCACCAUGUGGCCAGGCUGGUCUCAAACUCCUGACCUCAGGUGAUCCGCCUGCCUCGGCCUCCCAAAGUGGUGGCAUUACAGACGUGAGCCACUGCGCCCAGCCAGUCCUACCUAUCAAUUUUUACAUAAAUGAUACUGGCCAGAAAGAAUAAAGCUGACAGGAUAAAAAGUAAGGGUACAAUUAAAGGAUACAAACAAAUGUAAUGUAAUAAAUGAAUAGAGAAGUUUCCACAUAUAGGCUGUUAUGAUGCUCUGCUUAGUCUUUACUUGACUGUGUUCCAUAUGCAUCAUAUAGAAAGUUCUCUUCUUGUUACUCAUUUUUCUCUUUGUGCUUUACUAAAUAUAAUUUCUAUUGUAUUCUCUUUCAGUUCAUAGGUCUUUUUUUCUACUGAGUUCAUUAUUUAUUUCCUGUGAGUAUCUGUCCACUCCUGUGUUAACAGGUGAAAGGCAUGAGAGGUCACCUCAAUGUCAUAGUAAAAUGUCUGUUUCAAUAACAGGUCACAGCGAUUAGCUUUGAAGAUGUGACUUUGGUAUACAUGCUGCAGGGUUCUGCUUUAAGGAGGACUAUGCCUCUCAAUAUUUCACACUGCCUUUCAGGUCCAGCCCACGACCACUGAGGUAUCAACUUCACUGGACUUGGCAGAUCUUUGUUACAUCUUCCUGGAAGUUCUAGCCUUUGCAUAUUUUGAGUUUAGCUUAUUAGAUUUUAACCACAUGUGGCUUCAUAACCUGGCAAAUGUCUGGAAGGAAAAACAUGUCUUAUAUAUGUUGAAGGUUUCUCUUUCUAGUCCUUGUCUCCUGUGCAUUUUAUAACAGUGGGGUAGCACUGAGGCCAUUGGUCAAUUAUGCAGAUUUCCCAGAAGCAGUAGAUCUGAGUACUUGUUUUCCUGGUGAGCACAGUCUACCACUUGGGCCACACAGAUCCACUUUCUAAGCAGUGUUAGAGAAUAGCUCC
Molecule: long non-coding RNA, 2528 nt
Filed under: Homo sapiens (human)
Lineage: Eukaryota; Metazoa; Chordata; Mammalia; Primates; Hominidae
Description: HSALNT0272019
Source: RNAcentral